GACACACUGUACUUUAAUAUUCUCUUCCACUUGCUGAUAGUUUUGAAUGACAUUAUUAUGCAUCAUUGCUUCGAAGAGUUUGUGAUUUUGUUAUGAAGUAUCAAUGUCAUUAUUUUAUUGUCAUUAUAGAGUUGAGCUGCAGUAAGCUCGUACUUUGAUAUGAAACCACUUUUUUUAUUAAACGAAGAAGAUCAUUAGGGCUAAAUUAUUAAAAUACGGCAUGAAAUCUGAUCAAAACUACAUCCCACAGAAACGAU
Molecule: unclassified non-coding RNA, 257 nt
Filed under: Hevea brasiliensis (rubber tree)
Lineage: Eukaryota; Viridiplantae; Streptophyta; Magnoliopsida; Malpighiales; Euphorbiaceae
Source: RNAcentral